This 305-nucleotide ribosomal RNA is filed under the name uncultured bacterium. RNAcentral's name for it is "bacterial SSU rRNA". It matches the Rfam family "Bacterial small subunit ribosomal RNA", at positions 336 to 656 of the family's 1533-position model. The record is from RNAcentral.
UUCCUACGGGACGCAGCAGUGGGGGAUAUUGCACAAUGGGGGGAACCCUGAUGCAGCGACGCCGCGUGGGUGAAGAAGCGCCUCGGCGCGUAAAGCCCUAUCAGCAGGGAAGAAGAAAUGACGGUACCUGAGUAAGAAGCACCGGCUAAAUACGUGCCAGCAGCCGCGGUAAUACGUAUGGUGCAAGCGUUAUCCGGAUUUACUGGGUGUAAAGGGAGCGCAGGCGGCACGGCAAGCCUGAUGUGAAAGCCCGCGGCCCAACCGCGGGACUGCAUUGGGAACUACCGGGCUGGAGUGCCGGAGAG